Long non-coding RNA from Gallus gallus (chicken), 13810 nucleotides. RefSeq lists it as uncharacterized. The transcript is spliced from 4 exons. NCBI's taxonomy places the organism in Eukaryota, Metazoa, Chordata, Aves, Galliformes, Phasianidae. The record is from RefSeq and is a predicted model, not a curated record.
UUUCAGAUUUUUGAUAAAAACACCCUUCUUUAGGAAACAAGUCAACCAAAACACUUGCCAGGGCCCUGAGAAGGCUAAGAGUCUCGUUUGCUCCAGGGCAGCACCUGAGCAUUAAUGGCCCUGACAGGCCUUGCCUGGAGCCCCCUCAAGCACCCACUGCCCACUUCAGCUCCAGGUUGGGCCUUCAGUCCAGUUGUAGUGCUGUUGUGUUAUCUGGGUUUCCUAGCUUGACCUUGGACCUACCUGGCCUGUUGCCUUGCCAAGUGCUUCCUGGAUAGGGCCUGUUGCUGUCACCACCCUUCUCUGCUUGCUUGUGUCCAACGCUGGAGACUGCCUGGCUGAUAAGCUCACUGCCCAUCAGGUGCUGUGGCUGCCCUUUGCUCCUGGCCUCUCUAGGGAAAUAGCCUGACUCUCAGUGCACCCUAACAAUGCUGUUAAGAAAUUUUUAUACCAGUGAAACGGGUUAAGAGAAUUGUCCUGCACCUAUGGGCAACUUUCAGUCUUAACCGAGGGAGACAGUUAACUGGUAACCUCAGGGUGAAAAGCUCCAGAACUGAUUACCAAAGUUGCAAGCCAUCUAGUCCCUCUGAAAUAUGGUUGCAGGUGAAAGGUGAAUGAUAGCAAUGCAAAGCCAUUGAUCCUGUAAAGCUGUGGUGAGCCACUGACUUCUUUCUACAACAUUAGCAUUGUUUGGUUUUUUUUGCUUUGGAGAUGCUUCAUUUGCUCUGCCAGCAGUUACACUGAGCAACUGUGAGGGGUAAGAUGGAGUGCGUGGUCUUCGGGAGGAACCAAAGGAGAGCUCCAGCUCCAUGGUCAAUGAAUGAUAAACAGGCAGUCAAAGCUUGGGCACAGCACAGCUAGCAACAUAUAGAAAGAUGUAUUAGAACACAAUUCCUGCAGCAACAGCCAGAAGUGACCACCAAACUGUUGGCCAUACUUCACAGCCAUGUGGAAGUGUUUGGAGUCUUUUAGGUCUGAGGACUUAAGUCCCCAGGCCCUGGUGGAACUUGUCCAAGUUUCACACUAUAGUGGGAGCUGGAGGCUUUGGUGAGGCUAUGACACUGGUUUAGGCUGAAGAACAGCUGCUAUGUAUAGAGGGCGCAAGCCUUCCUGAGCCUUUGGCUCCUCCUAUGAAUAACUGAUUAUCUUUACAAGGCUGCUGUGAGGAUGAAUGCACCAGAACUACAGGGAUGUCCUGUUGGUACUGUUGCCAGGAAGUCACCACAGCUCUGCAGCUGAGCCCCAAAUAAUCCACUGCAUUGUCCUGUGCCUUUCUCCAAAUGAACUCAACAGUCUCCUGAGGCUGACACAAACAGAGCUGUCAAGUGCUGUCAGAAUGAGAAACCGCCAGUGGUGAAGCAAGAGGCCAGCUUGUGAACAAAUGGCUUGGAAAACUAAUAUGAAGCCACUGCAUUAGCAAAAAAACAGAGAAAGAGGGGGCUCCAGGAAAGCCACUGUCAUCCUCUGUCAGAACUUCUAUAGCAGUCUGGCGUACUCAGAAAUAUGAGGCAUAUGUCAAGCAGCAACCAACUGUCAAGUGAGGAGGUAGGUGAGGAAACCUGUUCUUCAAUAUGCUAACGUUCUCACUCACUUCCUUUUUCCAUGUCCUGUCCCAGCACCACAAUCUGAAUAACCUCGUUCUCAAACUGUUCAGUGCCAGAGGCUAAGGGAAAAUAAUAUCGGCUCAACAGUGAGCCAGCAAUGAAUUACUAUUAUAUGGCAAUUUACACUUUUAUGUUAUCUGUGACAAAGGUGAGCCAUAGAGAAAAGGGAUUCUCGUAGUUUUUUACGCUCAGAACUGGUAAAGAGUUGCACAACAAAACGUCACUUAGACUAAAGGCUUUUAAUUCUUAUUCCUUCAUAUUUUUAUAGUUGUAACCUUUGCUGACAAGCUCUGUUCCAAUGUAUUUUUGGUCAGUGGCGAUGCCCAAAAGGAAAACAGUCUGAGAAAUCUAAUUGUAAGUGCUUUCAAGAUGCUUACUGUACAUCUAUGCAUUUCUCACUGAACAGCGUCAGCAUGUUAUAAAUUCACCUCUUGGUACAACCCCAUUGAAAUACUAUAAUGCACCAGGAAUUAGUUUGGUAUAUUGUAUCUAAGUGGUUGCUAAACUCAUGGUCUGUAAGGUGUUUAAUCAUACAUUUAACAUUGUCCUGAAUCAAACUCCUGAGAGCAGUCUAAUCUCAUCCCAGCUCAAGAGAUUCUCGCUGCUAACAGGCAUUUUUUAGAAGCCAUUUCCUCACUUUUUUUUCAGUUCUUGCUAAUAACAACCAUAUUUAAACUGCUAAAAGACAUUGAGUGUGAACAAAAUCAUACAUAUUAUUUUUGUAUAACUGAAACUAGCAAGGCCAACCAAAAUUAGUCAUGCUGGGCGUCAUACGCGCUAUGUGCAAAAUAAUCUCUUUCCUGACAGUUUUGUUGUGAGACAAGAUAAACUUCUCAGAAUGCAAAACCAUGCCAACCCAGGUUCUAAACCAGAGAUGCUUCUCUCCAGCCAGGUCAGAAGCUGCACAGAAAAUCUCGCACCUGUUUAUCACCACCAGACAUCUAAUUUCAAUACACAAAGCAGUGAAGUAAAGAUCAUGCAAUAUACAAAUGCAGUGAUAAAGUAUAAGGCUAUAAGGAGAUAACUGUCAAAUGCCUAAGGAGCAGGUCUCAUGGUACUCCUGCUAUUUGAUUCCAUUCUCUUUUGAUUAUUCAGUUUUCUCCAUUUUUUUUAUGACAGAUUUUUUUCCUAUUAAGAAGAGAAUCUAUUUUCCUCCACGUAUUUUUCUAAACAAAGGAUUUUACAAAAGCACCUUAAGCUAUGGCUCAAGUUGUGACUCUGCUCUUGACAGCAAUUGGACAGAGAGCCAAAGAGAUGUGAGGGGAUGGAUGGAGCCUGGAUGGAGAACGUCAGUAUCCCUCAAAUGACUGAAUACCAUUGAAAUCCCACAUUUUUUAGGCAUUGUCAAAACUUUCAGGUUUGGGUUUCUCAGUCAAAAAUAGGAAGUGAUCACUGCAAACAAAUCAUUCUCACAAGGCAUACAAUUGCGCUGAAAAAGUAGUUUUCUCUAGUAUGAAUGAUUACCUUUUUCAUCCAGCACCAGCAGCCCCAGAAGUAUUCUGUAUCAUGUUCCACACAGAACCAAGAAGCAUGAAUAUCUUCAUGGAGACAUUCUUUUGACUACAGUUGUCUUAGGUCUGCACAGGGAAAGGCACGUAGGCCUUUAAUGCUACUUAUGCUUAUUUAACUAUCAGAACUGUUAUUAGUGGAUUUGACCCCGUUUCUCCACUUUUCCUAAAGCUGCUGUAUGGAGCCAGGCAGCACUUCUGUAGGUGUUAAAGCAUUCAUAAAUGCAGUUAAGAAAGCUAACUACUUCUUGUGCUUGCUAAAGAAUGUCCCAUCAAAGUAAAAAUAUAAACAAAGUUUUCUUUCUCUUUUUAUGUUUGUAGACAAAGGGUCAGUCUCAGCUGGUGAAGGCUGACUUCAGCUGUGUUGGGCUGUCAGUGCAACUUCUACAAUCUGAUCCACUAUUUCUCUACUGUUAGCUCAGCCCACCCAGAUGGGACAGAGCCUGGUCACUGUUUCUGACUUUGGGAGCUUAUGCCUCAUUCCUAGACUUAGGUUUCAGUCUUCUGUCCUGUUCUGUGACCAGAAUUCAGAGCCUGAGACCUCCCAGACCAUCACACAAAUUUCUCUUAGCACUACUAAGGCUUUGAGAGGCUUGAACUUCUAAUUCAACCGGGCUGGAAAAACACAGAUAGAAAGAACACAGGCUUUUACAGUAGAAAUUUUAUUUCUAAAGCACCUGGCUAUAUAGACCUUGGAAAGCAACUUAAGACCAGAUGCAUAGUUCCCUUGAUCCCAACUUACCACUUCUGUAAGUCUAAAGUUUUACCAUUAUUUUUUGAUAAUUCCUUCUACACCUUUUCUCUUGCAAGCCACUGUGUGUGGCAGUGAUUGACCACACUGCAACAUUCAUCCCAUCAGUGAAUUCCCCAUCUCUCUUCCAUGUUACUCACUGAGACUCCACUCCUAGAGUCAGUGUGCCCCAACUGUGGUCUCUUGCACAGAAAAUAUCCUAGUGAAUAGUGAUGGGCUGGGUGCACAGAGCUGGUGUCCCCAUCAUCUCUGACGUUUUUACUGUGAUGGUCCUUUGGAGGCUAAUUUUACUCUGCUGAGCAACUCACUAGAAUUGCACUACUACUGACUGCAGACCUUGUUGUUCUUUUAUUUUUUUUUCUUUUUUCCUUUUCUUUUUUGACAUUUGGAAUUAGAAAGCAUCGGUGAAAUAAUAAUAAUCUCUUAGAGCCACACAGGUGCCAAGUAGAUAUUCAGGGUGUGUUCAGGUCACUUUGCACCUCUAAAGUGUGUAGCAAGGAUCAGGUUUUGAAGCCGAUAUUUUUAUCAGGGCAGAUAAAGCCACGAAGUGUAAAAGUAAUGCUGAAAAAAAACGACCUAGAUAUUCUAGUUGAAUGACGAUGGAUAUUUUUUUAAGGUAUCUGUAAUGCUCUGUGUUAUUCUUCAUGCCAGGGCCAAUCAUUACCAUCAUGCUCUCAAAAGAUGGAACUCUGUAUUGUUGAACGUACACCCAAACUGACAGUCCAGAGUGCGAACUGCCCCACUGAUUUCAGAGAGGUAGCUACUGUGCUCCAGAAAGCAAUUUUCUUCCAAAUCUUUGGAUAGCCAAGAAAGGGUCCAUUUUUGUGUCCCUGAGGGACCCUCAUUGAAAGGUGCCUUAUCCAAUGGAAACUAUGACAAAAUCUGGUCGGAACAAAAACCACCUUUUCCAUCAGAAAAAAAAAAAUUAACAAGCUGAAUGAAAUUAUCCAAAUCAACCUUUUACACCAUUUCUUUUUCUAAGACAUUUAAAACAGUGGACUGUGAGAAUCAGUACUUUGCAGAAGCAGGUUUGUUACGCGCUAGCUGUUAACAUGACACAAGUGGAGAGAAAGAGCAUAUUCUGAAAAGUAAUCAGUUUUCAGGUUUGAAUACAUAGUAGUAGCAUUCUUUACUUUUUCAGAAUUGUAUCUUUUAUCCGAAUAGUUCAAAGCAUUCCUCAAAUAAUUUAUUACAUCUCACCACGUUCUCUCUGAGGCAUUUAAAUAUUACUUUCUUCAUUGUGGAAGACGGAAAAAUGGAGAAAUCAGAAAAUGAAAUGACUUUCCUAAGACCACACAGCGGGUCAGAAUCAGAGUGAAGAAAAGAAGCUUGAAGUGAUGACUUCUGCUCUACUGUUCCAAGCAGUGGAUAAUACAGUUCGUCUGUGACAUUCCCUGUACUGAGAGGUGAUAGUUUCCUAAAGAUCUGCUAUAAUUCAACAUGGAAGUUACUGGGACAGAUGCGUCAAUUACUGGGUGAAAUUCUGUGACCUAGCUAUUCAAAGGUCAGACUAGAUGGUCAGAAAGCUCUUGUCUAGUCUUAAAAUGUAAGUGUCGUUACCACUGUACAAACUUACUGGCCCCUUCUCUCUUUCCAACAAAAAUCGGCAAUUAGUCUUGUUUAAAAGCUUGCAAUGAAACUGCAUUUUUCAAUUCCAAGGCAUAUUAUGGCAGAGGUUGGCAAAAAUAGCUUGAAAAACCCUGAAAAAUUGUCAGGUUGAAUCAAUCAAAUCCAUUUUUAAUUUUACUUUGACAAAAAUUCACACUGGGGCUGACAGCUCCUUGUAAAAACAACUUUGCUCACUGCAGUUUGAAACACACAUGCUAUAAACCCUGAGAACGGGAUUUAUAAUAGAAGCCUGGCAGUCUCCUAACUCAAGCGGUAUUAUCACCAUGUGUGUGACAAUAAUAUAUUAGGACCAUACUUCAGAGCUCCUUCAUUAGAUCCUGACAUAUGGAGGAGAAAGGAGAGCCUGAAAACUGGGGAGGACAUAGAGUGCAGCCUCAGCUGUGCAUAUUUAUCAUCUAAAUCGAGUGAAGGCUAUUUAUUGACUUAUUGAUUCUAAUUCAAAAUUAGAACUUAAUUAAAAGUUUAGUUCAUUACCACACAGUUACAUGGCCCUCAAGACAUUUCCAGGCUAGUAAAGUACAUACUUAAUCAUGUGGUAUAUUGGGAAGGCUGGAUCUUCAGUUGUUAUAAAUCAGACAUUAGUAGUGCCAUGCUAAUUUACACCAUCUGGGGACAGGGCCUAUUAGUUUUCUGCGCAGGAGGCAGUUGUUAUUGUUUUAAAUGAAGGAGCUAAAAUGUAAUGUUGUCCUUUGCUGAGCAAUAGCAUAUGUUAACUUCCCACCACAAGGCAAGUAGCAGUGAGAAAUUUAGUCUCAGUGCCAUGUAUACUACAUACACUUACCAGACUCAGAACAGAAGCGCUCAGAAAUAGCAUAAAGGACCGUCUGCCAAAACUUUUAAUACCAAGCCCUGGAGAAGCUGUCCUGCCUUGGAAACCCAUUGUAGUGACUGCUAAGAGAGGUUGUAGCAGAGAGCAAACUUUCCUGCCAGUUCCUCCUCAGAACCACCACUGUGCACAUGUCAGGAUGCAGGCAACAUCGACACAAAGAUGCUUUUCAAGCUCUGAUGUUCUUUCUGGUUCUUGAGCUCCCUAAGCUCCAACCUCACGGCUGGUUGUGCCUUUUUCCCUCUGCACAGUUAGUGGAAUACUUUGUUUUUGUAAACUUGGCUUCUGAGGACAAGAUUCUCUGAAUGCUGCCCAUUUAGGAUUUGUCACAGCACAAGUUCAGAGUCCUGGCUAUUUUUGCAGCUCAGUGCACGUGUGCUGGUGUGAGCAGUGUGGUAGCAGCAACAGAGCCACACACACCAAGCCUGAAGUGACAAAGCUUUUGAAAACUGGUACACUGAGGACAAGGAGUAGCCACGUAAGAGAAUUGACUGGGGAACAGGCAUUUUAAUAGCUGUGUACUGGGUGCACCUGCUGCUACUCAGUGCUCAACCAAAUAGUAUUUCCCAACUAUUAAUCAAGCGUAUCCCAGAGCUGCUGAGGAGGAACUGGUUUUCCACAAUGCCAGAUGACCAUGAUGGCUGCUCUUCACUGCUGUCUUCCACAUUUAUGGAAUGUAGAGACACAGGCUGAUGUGGCCUCUGCUACCUUUGGUUACAGUUUCUCCAGCUGGCAAGAUCCCGUGCUUUGUCCUUUACAGUUUGGUUAAUAGUUUGUGCCUUUCUAGCACUUAGAGCUAUCACACUGAUUUCGUGGCAGUGGCUGCUUGAAACAGCUGAAAUGUCCUGCUGUCUCACAUCCCACCUACUGCUACAUGAUUUGCUGCUGUUUUUCUCUCCUUGUUAGGACCUAGGGUCUAUUUUAAUACGUUGAGAUUAAGCCCCCUUUUUGUGUGCGGCCAGUAUAUAUUCCUGGAAUGGACAGAGCCGUAAGGAAGGAUAGAAGAGUUUGCCUAGCAGCCAUGGUCUAUGCUGCAGCUUGUAGAGUAGAGUCAUUUUCAUUUUCCUUCUUUGCUUCUAGUGUGUUUGUUUUUUCCAUUCAAGGAAAAACAAAAAAGAUCAUGUUUUUGUCUAGUUCCCUUGCAGAACUUUUGACAUCUAAGGGAGAAUUUCUCUGACACCUUAUGAAUCCCACUGAAGCCUGAAAUAGAGCAGUUCAUGGCUAGCAGAGAUCUUUAUAAAACUGCCAUCAGUAGGAUUGUUAACAGCAAAGCAACCAAGCAGUGUAUCACUGCUUUUCAGGCUUGCAGAAACUGGUCUGACAGGGAAGAGCCCAUGCUAGGUAAAUUUUACAUUGAUUUCAGAUAGUGUCCUAGUAGUGAUGGUAACAAAACCUUGCAACAAUAGACCAAGGGGGCAGCGUGAUUAACAUCACUUGGAGAAUUUAGGAGGCAGUUUGGCUAUCUUUCCAAAAGAUAUUCUUUCAAACUGGCUUUGGCCUGAAUGGUCCCUUCUGGCCAAGGAGUCUGUCCAGAAUGUAUCAUUCAUUCAGCUCUUUCCUUCAUAUGUAACAGGCCGAGUAAGUCCUCAGAAUGAUCAUCAUUUGCAUAAAGAUAAUGGUUGUAAUAAAAGCUUGUGCUUCAGGGGUUUAGCUGGGUAACCACUGGGGUCAGGAAAGAUUUUUUUUCUUCCACUAUACAAUUAGCCAGAUGUACUCCGGGUUAGUGUUUGCUUAGCUCCUCUGAAGCACUGGAAAUUGGCUGUGCCUGGAGACUGACUUCUCCCUGGAGAACCUCAUGGUGGCUGGGCUCAUCCUGGGCCUCCUCUCCAGUACUCAGGGGGGAAGUGUCUGGCUGGGAAUAUCUAGAUCAGAUAACCAGCUGUCUCCUUUAGCCUCCACCUCCGCUGCAUUGAUACGGCCUGUGGAUGUGUAGCCACCUUCCCCCCAGCUCACCUUCAGGCACUCGGACAGAAGGGCUGCAGGUGCGUAAGCCCUGGCACAACAGGGAGAGCUCGCAGCAGCCCGGGGAGCUGUGUGGCUCCAAGCACACACUGUGAGCACCCCGCUGGCAGUUCCCAGCCGGUGUGCACGAGGAGAAGGGAGAAGGGUGCACAGCUUGCAGCACCGUGGUUGCUCCCUUUUAUUUUGGAGCAGUGAAGGCAGACUGUGAAACCGGAGGAAAUGAGAGGUGAAGGUAACAUGGCAGUCUCGUGCUUUCUUUCAGGGUGCCUUUCAGGCAUCUAACCUCUGUUAAUUCAUGUGUGCAACUCGCUUGUGUCAGAUGAAUUCCUACCUUGUAAGUGCUGAAAACAACCUGUAUUGUUCAGAUGCUUAGAAAAUAGUAAUCUCUGGGCUGAAUUUUACCCAUGCAAGCAAAUAGUUCAGCGUAAAGAAUAAAUGCCGCAACAGAUCCUUAGGCAAUACAAAAUAGAUUUGAUACUGCUUCUUUCUUUGCCUCCAGUGAUUUUAAUGGAGCAGGAAGAAGCCUAAUGAGAUUUGCCAGGAGGCAUUACUGAGAUCUGGUGGCUGUGGCAGCUGAGUGCUGCAUAAAAUGUGCAACUGUUCAUAUGCUGCAGAGCACUUGAGUUGAGUCAUUGCCCUUUUACUAUGGUUCCUUUGGCAAUAAAACUUCCAUCUCUGUGACAAAGUAGUCACAGUGAUUUAAUACACGUGCAUUUUCUAAUACAGGGCUCCUGCAGCUCAGGAAUGGGUCAUAAUCCUGCAGCCACAAUUGCACCUAUUUCCAUUAUUGUAAACAAUUGUUUUGGUUUUAGCGAAGCCGUUCAGAGGAGUGUGUCUGCUGUUAAUCGUGCCCAGUGCUGGAAAGUAUGACUUUCAAGCACUUUUUACUCAAAGCGUACCUUAUUAUGGUUACCCUACUGCAUUGUUUCUUGAGUAUUAAUAGACUUUGGUCAGUGAGUUAAUUUUUUUUCCCUUUGUUGUAGCUUUUCUCUGCUAGUUUUACUAGGAUCUCCCAUGAAGUUGGAUCUUAGUGGUAUUUUCAGUUGUUGAAGCCAAGGCUAGGGCAGUACGCCUAAGGUACCUAAAUUCACGGAACACCUUGGCGCAGAACAAGGUCUGAUUUGCAGUCCUCCUUUCUUCUUGCUACACACUGGCAAUAUGGUUGAAAAAGGGAUUAAUUUAUGUUUAACUGAAAAUCUGUCUUGUGUAGGGUGGAAGGCAUCACAUUUCUUGGAACAGAGUGCCAAAAGAUGAAUGCCUGCUCUGAGGAACUUCCUUUGAGCCACUCCGUCAGCAUUUUCAUGCGUUGUUCUGCCAUGUACUUAGAGUACUGUUUUUUCACCCGUAGUCCUAAGGAAUGCUGGAUUUGUCACAUUUGAUUUUUACUUUUUUUCCCCCUCUUUAUUUGGAAUUAAUAGCAGCACUGCUUGGGAAUUUUCAAAAUCCAAGCAAACAGUUUUUUCACAAAUAUUCUGCCAAAGACUGCUUGUUUUCAACCCUCCCGCAGUGCGCUAAAAGUCUGUGGAACAUCUUUUCACUAUUAAAAUUCAUGAAGUUUAAUUGUACUUCGUGUUUUGGAUGUUUACCAGUUUCUUCAGUCCCUUACUGGACCUUGAUUUAUUUAUUUUUUUUAGUUUAAUUUAUUAUUUUUUGAAGUGACAUCUUAUAAUCUUGUUUUUUUUUCUUUUCAGGAAAGCAGGGCACCUGAUUUACCCAAAAAGGGACUUCCUUUAGAACUCUGUCACCUCUCAGUGACUUAGGCGUGCAGAUUUUUCCCCCUCCUUCUUGAUGGGACCAGACACUCCAGCUACAAGCCCAUUUUAUUUAACCACAGUAAUUCAAAUAGAUAUCGAUUCUCAGACCUGCUCUGCCUAGCGAAUCUGUUAUAUUCUCAGUGACGUUCUGGUGUGUGGCACUGGGACGAGCACUUGCUUAGCAGCAGCCAAUAUGUCAGUUUGGGGAUCACACGCCUCCUUUUAGAGAAACCUCACAAAAAGGGGAAAGGUAGUUUAGGAUAUAUUGACUGUUAGGUAUGAAGCGUUGCCUUUAGAACAUACUCGCAUCUACUUAACACUACACUGGUUAUAAUUCCUUUUUAACAAAAAAUUUAAGCUGAUGUACAAUCCGGUCCUAAAACGAAUUCCUGCUUUUCGAAGCAGUGCCACCAUUUUCCUUAGUGAACCACACUCACUGUUAAAAUUCCGAUCAGAGUUGCAGCUACCGCUUUCUGCAAGGUCUGAAUUUGUUUGCCCCGCUAUCCGAGCACAUCCGUAAACACAGGGGACAGUUAGAAUUAGUAAAAGGACAAUGGUUACGCUUUGAUCAGGGCGAAAGCAAGAGGGGGGAGGCUUUUGUUUUGGAUUAUUUUUUCCUCCAUGACUGUACAGUUUAUUAGCACCGGGUUAAACAAACUAAUGGGCGCAAAUUAUAACAAAAUAAUGGCAGUGGUCUGUAGAGCCACUAUGAAACAACUCCCCCUUCCCUCCACCCCCUUUUUAACCUUUCAUCUUAGUCUCAUUCUUAUUUGUGGACUACCCCUUUGCCCUCCUCUUCCCCUUUGCUUGAAAAAAUAAGCAGAAAAUACAGUUUACAUUAUGCCUGUACACACUUCUGGUUUUUUUGAUGCAUCCCCAAAGGAAAGAGGAUAAAUAAAUACACAUUUUUUAAUAGUUGUAGAGUAUUUGUUUAGCGCUGGCUAACUCCCCAAUAACUUUCAGAAGAUCAUACAGGCAAAUCUAAUUUUCUAGCUAAGUUAAGUCUCUCUUGGGAAUUUUGGUGGCUGCCUGCAAACGCUUUCCUUGAAUCAGCAGUAUCAGCAAAGAUUCACUAUGUCGCUAAAAUAUAUAAUGUAAAAAGUGAAGGAAAAUAUGGAAGAAGGUUGAGAAAGCAGGAGGAGAUGGAAAAGGGAAGUACUAUAAAGGGAAGGGCAUCUAUAAAGACAGAGGGGUCUAAGCCUUUUACAAUAGAGGCAGUCUGAAAUAACCAUGGUUUCUUCUUUGAAUCGUGAGAAUAGCUAUUUUCUUGUUUAAAAGCUUAAAGAGCUAUUAAGUUGGGCAAAUCACUGGUAAAACAGCUGGAAAUGUAAAUAGCAAUUUAAACAGUCCAUUGCCCCUCAAUCCAAAUGUGGAAUGUGCAGAUCUACUUCAAAAAAGUUCCUCUGGUUUUAUUAUAUUGUCAACGGUAAGAGGAUUGAGUAGGCACCCUUUCUCAGUGGGCUGAAUGGAGACGGUGUGCUUUAUUUAGAAAAUCCACGUUUAAAAAAAAUUUUUCCUCCUUUUUCUCCCUUUUUCCCCCCUUUUCUCCUGUUUUCCUUUUUGAAAAUUUCUUUCUUUUUCUCAUUUUUCUCUCUCUCUUUCUUUCUUUCUUUCCUCUUUUUCUUUUUCUUUUUUUUUUUUUUUUUCCCAAGUGAGCAGACGGGUCUCUAAUUUUCACACCAUUCUCCCUUAGAGACCUCCUUCAAUUGCACCAUUCUUUCAUUAUGUGGAACUAAUGAAGUGCUCUGCAACCUUUAGGUCUCCAAAGAAUCCAUUGCUCUAGGAAUAUAGUCCUUAAAUAAAACAUGUUUCAUUGGCUGACUUCAAAACACUAUUCUUAUGGGGGGGUCGAGGGGGAUAAAUAAUUGUCCUGAAAUCACUGUGUGAAAAAAAGAAGAAAUUACGUCAGACAAUGCUUUUAAUGUAUAGUUACAGUCAAAGGAUACAUUCAGCAAUGUCAGUUUUGGUUCUUUUCCUAGUAAGUUGCCAAAAAGCAGAAUAUAAUCUUUAAGAGUCCCAAAUAACACAGUUUUUUUAAUGCCUGUCUUUUCAGUGCCUGUGUUCUAUUGAGUAACUACUGGGUUUUGUGGUGCACAAAAUAAUGCAAUGCCAGAUCAAUAAGACUAAUAAUUCAGCAGCUGAGUUUGAAAUCUGGCUGCCUUGGGUGUCUUAAGAAUAACACCUCACAUUUUAUAUGUUGCUUUUUAUCUUCAAAGUACUCAGCAAACACUAACUCGGUGAUGCGGCAUGUUUAUUCAGCUUGUGAAAGCAUAGCUCUGUAUUAUCUGUGAGGUAUCAGAUGCCUUGUUCUCCUGUGGAUAUUUGCCGUUGCAAAUGCAGCUUAUUUUUGUUUUCCAUUAUGGACCUUGUAGAAGACAGCUAUUUCAAAUUUGUCAAAGUCUCAUCUCUUCCUAAGCAGUCUUUGCCCUCUGGCAUUUUUAAUUGAUUUGCCUUUCUUCUUUAAAGCUUUUAAUUGGCCUGAGCCCUGUUUUCCUUCCCCCAUCCUGAAACCAGCACGUUUAAACUGAAUAUGCUUUCUUGGAAUAUCUUCAUCUGCAAAAUCUGUUUUUAAAUUAAAGUAUAAUAGUUAAAUAAAAAUAAAAAGAAGAGUGGAAGCAGGGGGAAAGGGAGGUACAUUAGAUGUAAGAUUGCUUAUAUAUGUCCAGCUUGUGUCUGAAACCAGCAAAGAAAUGUAAAUGCUUCUUUUUUUAAAAACAAUUAGUAUUCAUUUCCUUUGGUGUUGCUUAUCUUUUACUUAGUUUUAUUUGGUGCUUGAUCUAAUUUGUAGCAUAUUGGAUUUUGGCUUUGGGAAACUGAAAUAGCACUAUCAGCGUGAUUAUUGUUAUAAUAGUGGCAUGAGAGAUUUGCUGGCUUAAUUUCAGUGAAAACUAGAACAAACUGUAAUGUCUGUCUUUGUCAGUAAAACAAUUUAUAUUUCUAGAAACUGUUGUAAUCAUCUAUUUUAAGUGAAAAGAUUUCUUGGAGCACUAUUCUACAAAACCCAGGGCUUAUCCCAAAUGUCUAGUCUAUAAAUAACAUAUUUAAGCUCCAUUGAACAGAUUAGAAAACAAAACAGUGCUUAAUGAAUGUGGAAGCUUCAUUUCUUGGGCGACUAAGGAUAAGUUACUGUCUUUAAUGAGAUCCCCCUUUAUCUUGGUAGGGCUGUGUUUUGCAGAACUAAACGCUUUGGAGCAGGAGUCAAGAAUAUGGACUAAGUUUUGCCAAGGUCAUUAGUAGCAAUGGCUGCCUAAUUGUGGACCCUCUCAAGUGACCUGAUUUCAAACAGUCGCAGAGUUUGCAGUUACUGCAUUAAGCCACUCUAAGAAGUUGUAUAUAAUGGAGAUACCUGAAGUCCCUUUGAAAAUCUCAGUUCUAAUUCUGGAUUUCCAAACUUCCCAUGUGAACUUAAGAAAAUCACUCAUCCUACCUGGAUAUUCUUUUCCUUACCUUUACCAGGAGAGGGUAAUGCUCCCAUUUUCUGUGUUAUGAGACCUAAUUCAUGAAUAUUUAUUGAUGUCUUUGUACAAUACUAGCCUCAUAAUUAUUUUUGAAAUUGCACAUUGGGAACCUGCUGGAGUUUCCAUCAAUUGGUACAGAAAUCAUUCUUUAACUCUGUUCUCUCAGUGCCUUUUGGGGAGUAGCAUCUGUGUAGCCUUAGUACUAGAUACAGAGUCCCUGUUGCACUUUCUUCCCAGAACAGCAUGUGUAUUUCCAUGGCCAGCAAGCAAUGAGAGCACAAAAUCAUAGAAUCAUAGAAUCAUCAUAGAAUGGCUUGG